UGACUUUUUCUUUUUAACCUUACUUUGAAUAUUCAAAUAUCCUCCUAAUCAGAGAGAAAGGAGAAAGGCAACUGGUUUUCUGCACUCCACCCCAGAAGACGGGCAUCCGCAAUAGUGUAACAGCUUUGCUGGGCCAGAAAAGGCUCAGAGGAUGUAUAACCUGCCCAAUGGAAUCUGGCAAGAAAGUGGUGGAAUCAAGAUUUGAUAUGAUUUCUGUCUAACUCCCAAACCAUAUUCCUGCCUGCAUAAAAUGCUGCCAUCCCAAGUUCCUGAUACUGAGCGGAAUCCUGCUUCCCCAGGUCAGUCGGAUUCUCACGUGACUUCCUGGCAGUAACUGGAUUCCAAUUAAAAUCUACUCUUCUCAAAUCCUGCACCCACAGCCUUGACACGGACUGGUUUUCUCAAGUGAAGGGAUCACUGCUUGGAGA
Non-coding RNA from Equus caballus (horse), 428 nucleotides. The record is from RefSeq and is a predicted model, not a curated record. NCBI's taxonomy places the organism in Eukaryota, Metazoa, Chordata, Mammalia, Perissodactyla, Equidae.